Molecule: long non-coding RNA, 251 nt
Organism: Arabidopsis thaliana (thale cress)
Lineage: Eukaryota; Viridiplantae; Streptophyta; Magnoliopsida; Brassicales; Brassicaceae
Product: other RNA
Exons: 2
Source: RefSeq
UCCGUUUGUGUGCCUGGUCUCGGGUGAGUUAUUAUACAAGAUAAGAUGACGAUGAGGGAGUCUUUGAUCAAAAAAGGUCAUUGGUUUUUCUCCGACUGACGGCUAAAAGGCUUCCAAUCUGUGGAGUUUUUGAAAGCACAUCGUUUUCAAGUUGCACAUAUAUCCGCUCUUCUCUGCCUCGGGGAAUCAUAUUCUAGGAACUUCAAGAUUGUUUAUCACUUCAUCUGACAUCACGAGGUUCAUUGCUUUUA